This 446-nucleotide ribosomal RNA is filed under the name uncultured bacterium. Its description in RNAcentral is "partial 16S ribosomal RNA". It matches the Rfam family "Bacterial small subunit ribosomal RNA", at positions 338 to 795 of the family's 1533-position model. The record is from RNAcentral.
CCUACGGGAGGCAGCAGUCGAGAAUCAUUCACAAUGGGGGAAACCCUGAUGGUGCGACGCCGCGUGGGGGAAUGAAGGUCUUCGGAUUGUAAACCCCUGUCAUGUGGGAGCAAAUUAAAAAGAUAGUACCACAAGAGGAAGAGACGGCUAACUCUGUGCCAGCAGCCGCGGUAAUACAGAGGUCUCAAGCGUUGUUCGGAAUCACUGGGCGUAAAGCGUGCGUAGGCUGUUUCGUAAGUCGUGUGUGAAAGGCGCGGGCUCAACCCGCGGACGGCACAUGAUACUGCGAGACUAGAGUAAGGGAGGGGGAACCGGAAUUCUCGGUGGAGCAGUGAAAUGCGUAGAUAUCGAGAGGAACACUCGGGGCGAAGGCGGGUUCCUGGACAGUAACUGACGCUGAGGCACGAAGGCCAGGGGAGCGAAAGGGAUUAGAUACCCGAGUAGUC